UAACGCAUUAAAUGCUCCGCCUGGGGAGUACGACGCAAGGCUAAAACUCAAAGGAAUUGACGGGGGCCCGCACAAGCGGCGGAGCAUGCUGAUUAAUUAGAUGCAACGCGAAGAACCUUACCAAGGCUUGACAUGCACUGGACGGCUGUAGAGAUGUGGCUUUCUUUGGCUGGUGCACAGGUGGUGCAUGGGUCGUCAGCUAAAACGGAGAUUUGGGUUACUCAGUGCAAAGAGUGCACGGCUCGGACUAUGAGGGUAGCACGUGAUGGUGGCGACUCAUAGGAGACUUCGGGUUCCUCGGAGGAAGGUGGGGACGACGUCAAAUCAUCAUGUCCUUAUGUCUUGGGCUUCAAGCAUGCUACAAUGGUCGGUACA
Molecule: ribosomal RNA, 375 nt
Filed under: Brachybacterium paraconglomeratum
Lineage: Bacteria; Bacillati; Actinomycetota; Actinomycetes; Micrococcales; Dermabacteraceae
Description: bacterial SSU rRNA
Rfam family: Bacterial small subunit ribosomal RNA
Source: RNAcentral